Molecule: ribosomal RNA, 253 nt
Filed under: uncultured bacterium
Lineage: Bacteria
Description: partial 16S ribosomal RNA
Rfam family: Bacterial small subunit ribosomal RNA
Source: RNAcentral
UACGGAGGGAGCUAGCGUUGUUCGGAAUUACUGGGCGUAAAGCGCACGUAGGCGGCUUUGUAAGUUAGAGGUGAAAGCCCGGGGCUCAACCCCGGAAUUGCCUUUAAGACUGCAUCGCUUGAAUCCGGGAGAGGUGAGUGGAAUUCCGAGUGUAGAGGUGAAAUUCGUAGAUAUUCGGAAGAACACCAGUGGCGAAGGCGGCUCACUGGACCGGUAUUGACACUGAGGUGCGAAAGCGUGGGGAGCAAACAGG